RNAcentral lists this transfer RNA (76 nucleotides) under Lysinibacillus agricola. Its description in RNAcentral is "Lysinibacillus sp. FJAT-51161 tRNA-His". It matches the Rfam family "tRNA". From Rfam's summary of the family: Transfer RNA (tRNA) molecules are approximately 80 nucleotides in length. Their secondary structure includes four short double-helical elements and three loops (D, anti-codon, and T loops). Lineage: Bacteria; Bacillati; Bacillota; Bacilli; Caryophanales; Bacillaceae. The record is from RNAcentral.
GCGAUUGUGGCGAAGUGGUUAACGCACCGGAUUGUGGUUCAGGCAUUCGUGGGUUCGAUUCCCAUCAGUCGCCCCA